Molecule: transfer RNA, 69 nt
Filed under: Phrynoderma hexadactylum (Indian five-fingered frog)
Lineage: Eukaryota; Metazoa; Chordata; Amphibia; Anura; Dicroglossidae
Description: tRNA-Val
Rfam family: tRNA
About the family: Transfer RNA (tRNA) molecules are approximately 80 nucleotides in length. Their secondary structure includes four short double-helical elements and three loops (D, anti-codon, and T loops).
Source: RNAcentral
CAAAACGUAGCUUAACUAAAGCACCUCGCUUACACCGAGGAGAUGUCUGUGAAACCCAGAUCAUUUUGA